Molecule: long non-coding RNA, 2298 nt
Filed under: Meleagris gallopavo (turkey)
Lineage: Eukaryota; Metazoa; Chordata; Aves; Galliformes; Phasianidae
Description: lncRNA (ENSMGAG00000021939.1)
Source: RNAcentral
AUGCUACUUUGCACUUCUGAAAAUUACAGGUUUAGUGAUGAAAAUGGUGUUAUUGCAAUAUUUUCAUUAUUUGAUUUGUUUCUUUCAGUGCCAGUGAUGCUCUUAAAGGAGAAGGUUUGCAGGAAGGUGUGGACUGGCUCCAAGAUCAAAUCACACAAUCAGAUGCAAGCAAUGAAGACAUGAGAGAUAAAUAAAAGAUUUAUGGUGUUUUCUCUGCUGCUUUGUUAGCAACUGACCAGUUCUUGGAAAGGAAGAAAGGCUUAAAGAAAAUGGAACACUUCAGCUAAAUAUUCUGUGAUGAUUUGUUUCCUUUUAGUAUCUCUUCCAGAAAAAGUAAAUAUAGAUAACAUAGUAUCUCAGGUACACACAUCCAUGAAUUAAAUUGAACUGUGUGAUGGGGGAGCAUAUUUAAAACCAAAAAUGUGUAAGUAAUAAGCAUCUGCAUUCAUUUGAGUUUCUGGUGAUAAUUAGCCAUGGGGCAGUACGCCACUUCUGGGGGGAAAACAACUUUUGAACAAAUGGGAGUAUUUAUAUUCCUGAGGAAGAGUAGUCAGUACUUCCUGAAAUGAAACUAUACGAAAUACCUAAAAUAGAGUUCCUACAAACAGUAGGGUUUUUUUAAUUGAAAGUUUUGACAUUGAGAUUUUUUUUCAAGUAACGAUCUGCAGUAGACUACAAGAAGAAUAUUUUGAGGUUAACGUGAGUUCACAUGUUAAAUGCAGCUUUUACAAAUGACUGCAGAUGUUUUAAGGAAUUUCUCAUUAUCAAAUGUUACAAGCUUUUUCUGUGCUAUGUCAUGGUUGUAUUUGCAUUCCCAUCAAUAAAACUUCAGAUAUACGACAUGUCAUGUUUUUGCUUUUUUAGACAUAAAUAUGUUCAUUGAUGGUCUCGAUAUCUCGACAUGAUAGAGAAAUUUGCUUUUCAGAUAAUCUCAUUUGGAUUUUUUGUCCAUUUUUAAAUGCAAAUAGGAUUUUAUAAUAAAGCAGUUACCUCUUUUUUUUUUUUUAAUUGCAUACAAUUCAUCUUUCUAAUAAGCAAGACUGCAGUUUCAGGUGUUUAUGGAGCAUAUGACUGAAAAUUAUAUUUUGAAAAUACAGUUAAGAGGCACUAGUCUACUAGAUCACUAAAAUUUAAUAUGUAUUAUACCUGUCUUGUGCAUAAAAACUAUUUUACUUUCAAGAAUGACUUUAAUAAACUUUCUGACUUCAAAGAUACACUCUAGGUAACAAAUUAAGCCUAGAUAUAGGCUAUAAUAGCACUUUAUUUUUGUCAUGCCGCCUCUUCCCAUUUUAAUGCCUAUUCCCAUUAUUCCCAUGAUUUAAUGCCUAUUCUGAUUAACAGGACAACUUGCACUGGGAGUGAUGAAGGUGAUUCUUUACUGUAUUUUGCUCCCACUACCUGAUUACUGUGGGAGAUGCAAUAUGUAAGGGAAAAAGUUUUUGCAAAACCUAUGUUAACAUUUAAAACACAGAAAUGUUCUGUAAGCAAUGCAUUUUAUGGCUCACUUAAUAGAGGAAUAUUUGGAGCAAAGGGAACUACCUGAAAUGGUAAAACUUUCAAGUAUUUUCAGCUUUAUUAAACAGCUAAUUCUAAGUCACUUGCUCUGCUCAAAGGAAUGCUUACUGUAAAAAUCUUUCUUACAGGAUACGAUUUUUCUGACAGUUGUUUGUCAUGAAAAUAUUUGAUCUUGAGGCCCGUUUCUGUGCCACCUUUGGCCUUCUGUCAACUCUGCAUCUCAAAUGUACAUAAUUAAAUAUGAAAAAGGAAAACUCAUGUAUAACUCUGAGAGGUUUUACUAACUUGGAAUUUUGUGGCAAAUAACUUUUGGUUUACUUUGCAUUGGAUAUUAUGGUAAAAGUACUUGUUGGAAGCAUUUUUUCAUAGUAUAAAUAUUUUGUAAUUACAAAAUAAUUCUGGUUCACUUAAAUGACUUAUUUAAAUGAGAUAUUUAAUUUUAAGUUGGCAUUAUUUUUUUUCUCUACUACAGCAAGAUUUGAAUUCUUAAAUAAAACCUAUCUCCAUUUCUGCUUUUAUUGAAUUUUAUUCUGUACAUGGACCUUAAUGUCUUGCUGAUAACUUCCUACUUAUUUAUAUUGGACCACACAAAGUACUGUGUUUUUCUUAUGGAUUGCCUUUAUUUUCAUGGGAAGCUGUUUGAACUUAGAGCUUUGUUCUUUCACCCACAAAUCUGAGGGAAGUACCCUGUUACCUUCUACAUUUUGCUUUCCGAUGCAGUUAGUAAGCUCUUUGAAAACAGCAUUUACGUUGGUUAUGAUGAUUACUGUUCCUCCUUUUUUU